This 609-nucleotide small RNA is filed under the name Arabidopsis thaliana (thale cress). RNAcentral describes it as "ATSL040500". The stretch from base 537 to 609 matches the Rfam family "Plant small nucleolar RNA R71", at positions 1 to 74 of the family's 107-position model. The record is from RNAcentral. Lineage: Eukaryota; Viridiplantae; Streptophyta; Magnoliopsida; Brassicales; Brassicaceae.
CUGGUAGUUUCCCUGAAAUUGCUGCUUGGGAACAAAACCUUGGUUGUAGGGAACAAAAGGUUUGUUCUGACCUUGUUGUUGGCUGUGGAGGAUACACUUGGUCUUAUUAGCAACGUUGGUGCUGCGGUAGGAGAGGUUAGGGUUGUUGGUCUUGAAGUUGUUAUACCCUUUGUAGUCACCCUGAUUGUUGUUGAUGUAGCUAACUUCUUCUAACUGGUUACCCUCUCCAUCUUGGACUUGAUACUGCUCGUCCUCAACAAGAAAGUGCAUAUGCUUCUGCUGGCUAAGUAGAAUUCUGUCUAGCUUGUCAUUCAGCGCUUUGAUCUCCUUCCUGUGUUUGUCCUCAGAGUCACCUGUGCCUGGUCCUGUCGCAGUCCUCGUUGUAAUUACCAUCUGAUUGAGCUAGGUUCUCAACCAAUUCCCAGCCUUCUUCAACAUCUUUGUUCUGGAAAUUCCCAUUGAUGGCGGUUUCCAGAAGCAUUCUGAUGUGUGUUAAAACUCCUCGGUAAAGAGUGCUGAGCAGAGAGGCUUUCUUGAAGCCAUGAUGAGGGCAUUGGUUGGUGUAACCCUUGAACGCUCCCAUGCUUCACAUGAGCUUUCACCAAUUUU